RNAcentral lists this ribosomal RNA (492 nucleotides) under uncultured bacterium. Its description in RNAcentral is "partial 16S ribosomal RNA". It matches the Rfam family "Bacterial small subunit ribosomal RNA", at positions 29 to 507 of the family's 1533-position model. The record is from RNAcentral.
AGUGAACGCUGGCGGUAGGCCUAACACAUGCAAGUCGAACGGCAGCACAGUAAGAGCUUGCUCUUACGGGUGGCGAGUGGCGGACGGGUGAGGAAUACAUCGGAAUCUACUUUUUCGUGGGGGAUAACGUAGGGAAACUUACGCUAAUACCGCAUACGACCUACGGGUGAAAGCAGGGGAUCUUCGGACCUUGCGCGAUUGAAUGAGCCGAUGUCGGAUUAGCUAGUUGGCGGGGUAAAGGCCCACCAAGGCGACGAUCCGUAGCUGGUCUGAGAGGAUGAGCGGCCACACUGGAACUGAGACACGGUCCAGACUCCUACGGGAGGCAGCAGUGGGGAAUAUUGGACAAUGGGCGCAAGCCUGAUCCAGCCAUACCGCGUGGGUGAAGAAGGCCUUCGGGUUGUAAAGCCCUUUUGUUGGGAAAGAAAAGCAGCAGGUUAAUACCCCGCUGUCCUGACGGUACCCAAAGAAUAAGCACCGGCUAACUUCGUG